RNAcentral lists this ribosomal RNA (253 nucleotides) under uncultured bacterium. RNAcentral's name for it is "partial 16S ribosomal RNA". It matches the Rfam family "Bacterial small subunit ribosomal RNA", at positions 524 to 776 of the family's 1533-position model. The record is from RNAcentral.
UACGAAAGGACCAAGCGUUACUCGGAAUCACUGGGCGUAAAGCGCGCGUAGGCGGCCUUGUAUGUCGAUUGUGAAAGCCCCGGGCUCAACCUGGGAACUGCAGUCGAAACUGCAAGGCUUGAAUGUUGGAGAGGUUGGGGGAAUACCUAGUGGAGAAGUGAAAUUCGUAGAGAUUAGGUGGAACACCAGAGGCGAAGGCGCCUGACUGGCCAAACAUUGACGCUAAGGCGCGAAAGCGUGGGUAGCAAACAGG